RNAcentral lists this ribosomal RNA (419 nucleotides) under uncultured bacterium. RNAcentral's name for it is "partial 16S ribosomal RNA". It matches the Rfam family "Bacterial small subunit ribosomal RNA", at positions 69 to 496 of the family's 1533-position model. The record is from RNAcentral.
GCAGCGCGGGGGCACUCUGGCGGCGAGCGGCGAACGGGUGAAAAAUAGAACGUGUCCGAGAGUGGGGGAUAACUCGCGAAAGGUUACUAAUACCGCAUAUUCUCUUUGGAGGAAAGCGGGGGACCAGGCCUCGCGCUCACGGAGUGGCCUAUCUCCGAUUAGCUAGUUGGUGAGGUAAAGGCUCACCAAGGCGACGAUCGGUAGCUGGUCUGAGAGGAUGAUCAGCCACACUGGGACUGACACACGGCCCAGACUCCUACGGGAGGCAGCAGUGGGGAAUUUUGGACAGUGGGGGCAACCCUGAUCCAGCCAUGCCGCGUGCGGGAAGAAGGCCUUCGGGUUGUAAACCGCUUUUCUUCGGAAGAAGAUUGGGGGUUAAUUCUUUUUUUUUUUGACGGUACUGGAUGAAUAACCACCGG